CGCAGCCGCGGUAAUUCCAGCUCCAAUAGCGUAUAUUAAAGUUGCUGCAGUUAAAAAGCUCGUAGUUGAAUUUCGGGACCAAUAUGUCGGUCGUGCCUCGGUACGUACUGGCAUCGUUGGUUUCUCCCUUCUGACGAACCAUGAUGUCAUUUAUUUGGUGUCGUGGGAAAUCAGGACUGUUACUUUGAAAAAUUAGAGUGUUUAAAGCAGGCUCACGCUUGAAUACAUUAGCAUGGAAUAAUGAAAUAGGACGUUUGAUUCUAUUUUGUUGGUUUCUAGGAUUGACGUAAUGAUUAAUAGGGAUAGUUGGGGGCAUUAGUAUUCAAUUGUCAGAGGUGAAAUUCUUGGAUUUAUUGAAGACUAACUACUGCGAAAGCAUUUGCCAAGGGUGUUUUCAUUAAUCAAGAACGAAAGUUAGGGGAUCGAAGACGAUCAGAUACCGUCGUAGUCUUAACCAUAAACUAUGCCGACUAGGGAUCGGAUGAUGUUAAUUUUUAAUGUACUCA
This 506-nucleotide ribosomal RNA is filed under the name uncultured Glomeraceae. RNAcentral describes it as "SSU rRNA". It matches the Rfam family "Eukaryotic small subunit ribosomal RNA", at positions 569 to 1078 of the family's 1831-position model. Lineage: Eukaryota; Fungi; Glomeromycota; Glomeromycetes; Glomerales; Glomeraceae. The record is from RNAcentral.